GAUGAACGCUAGCGAUAGGCCUAACACAUGCAAGUCGAGGGGCAUCACAUGAAGUAGCAAUACGGAUGGUGGCGACCGGCGCACGGGUGAGUAACACGUAUGCAACCUGCCUUCAACAAGGGGAUAACCCGUUGAAAGACGGACUAAUACCCUAUAACACAGGGGUCCCGCAUGGGAAUAUUUGUUAAAGGACAACCGGUUGAAGAUGGGCAUGCGUUCCAUUAGCUAGUUGGCGGGGUAACGGCCCACCAAGGCAACGAUGGAUAGGGGAACUGAGAGGUUUAUCCCCCACACUGGUACUGAGACACGGACCAGACUCCUACGGGAGGCAGCAGUGAGGAAUAUUGGUCAAUGGACGCAAGUCUGAACCAGCCACGUCGCGUGAAGGAAGACGGCCCUACGGGUUGUAAACUUCUUUUAUACGGGAAUAAAGUGCCCCACGCGUGGGGUUUUGCAUGUACCGUAUGAAUAAGGAUCGGCUAA
RNAcentral lists this ribosomal RNA (483 nucleotides) under uncultured bacterium. Its description in RNAcentral is "bacterial SSU rRNA". It matches the Rfam family "Bacterial small subunit ribosomal RNA", at positions 28 to 500 of the family's 1533-position model. The record is from RNAcentral.